GACGAACGCUGGCGGCGUGCUUAACACAUGCAAGUCGAACGGAAAGGCCCUGCUUUUGUUGGUUUCUCGAUUGGCGAACGGGUGAGUAACACGUGAGUAACCUGCCCUUGUCUUUCGGAUAACUUUAGGAAACUCGGGCUAAUACCGGAUAUGAUCUCCUGCUGCACGUUGUUGGUUGGAAAGUUUCGGCUGUUCUGGCUCUAUUCGCUGCUUAUCAGCUUGUUGGUGUGGUAGUUGCUUACCAAGGCUUUGACGGGUAGCCGGCCUGGGAGGGUUAACGGCCACAUGGGGACUGAGGUACGGAGCAGAAGCCUACGGGAGGCAGCAGGGGGGAGUAUGACACAAUGGGCGGAAGCCAGAUGCAGAGACGCCGCGUGCGGGAUAACGGCCUUUGGGUUGUAAACAGAUUUCGAAUGUGACGAAGAGUGAGUGACGGUAAUGAGUAAAGAAGCAACGGCUAACUACGUG
RNAcentral lists this ribosomal RNA (468 nucleotides) under uncultured bacterium. RNAcentral describes it as "partial 16S ribosomal RNA". It matches the Rfam family "Bacterial small subunit ribosomal RNA", at positions 28 to 507 of the family's 1533-position model. The record is from RNAcentral.